Long non-coding RNA from Homo sapiens (human), 622 nucleotides. Ensembl annotates it as MIR663A host gene. Its record names the gene MIR663AHG. NCBI's taxonomy places the organism in Eukaryota, Metazoa, Chordata, Mammalia, Primates, Hominidae. The record is from Ensembl.
CCUGAGAGAGUCCACAUCCACAGACUGUUUCAUUUCCCUUUUUCAAUUUACAUAGAAGCAUAGAUUCUUGCUGGCAUAUACAAAUGCGCCAUUUAAGGCAAUCAAAAAUGGUUCCACAUCUCAUCUGAUUUCCACAAUUGUUGCUGUAACGAUGGACUACUGAGGAGAGAGACAAUUUCUCUGGCACAUCUUCCCACAUUUUAGCAACAUGUUCAUGGAGAGCCAAUAUUCAGUAAUUACAGCCCAAUUCCUCACAAUUUCACAAUUCGCUAACAAUAUGCAUUUUCACAAUGUAAAGCUGAUUUUCCUUUAACCAAAUCAAACAUGAAAAGAUAGCUGCAUGCAAUGGGCAAUCUAGAUCAUUAGAAGAUUGAUGUAAAAUUAGAGGACACUGAGACUGGAAUAGAUUGCAAACUUCAGGGAGCUCAGAAAACUUGUAAACUCUACAUUUUGAGGAAAUAUGUUGUCGAUGCUUUUGCAACUCUAUGCAGUAACUUAACAAAUAAAGCCUUAAAGUAACUUAUCUACGAGUUACUUUGUCAUUAUUUGCAACUAUUUCACAUCAUACAGCUUCUCUAGGAAGUCCUCAGCUUAUUCACCAAAAUAAAAUUUCUAGUUAUAA